Molecule: microRNA, 23 nt
Filed under: Pristionchus pacificus
Lineage: Eukaryota; Metazoa; Nematoda; Chromadorea; Rhabditida; Neodiplogasteridae
Description: ppc-miR-8233-5p
Source: miRBase by way of RNAcentral
AGGGUUGUCGUACCUCGUGUUCA